Long non-coding RNA from Polypterus senegalus (gray bichir), 3412 nucleotides. RefSeq lists it as uncharacterized. NCBI's taxonomy places the organism in Eukaryota, Metazoa, Chordata, Cladistia, Polypteriformes, Polypteridae. The transcript has 3 exons. The record is from RefSeq and is a predicted model, not a curated record.
CGUAGCAUCUUAAAAGGGAACCAAAAUAUAGUCUGUGCAUCAUAAUAAUUGUUUUUUGAUGUGUAAUGUGUUUAUCAUGUCAACACUGAUUACAAAAUGGCUCAGCGAUAUGAAUUACACAUGUGAGCCAUGAUUUAGCUGGUUUGGCUGCAUUUCCCUUCCGGAUAAUUUACCAGAAUGUCUGAACUGUUGCAUACGCAAGGGUCAGUUUUGCCAUAAAUAUACGCACAUUUCCUUCAUCAAGUUUUCUUUUAUAAAUCCCAACAUUUGCAGUGAAUUUUCAUAUUUACAUUUUAAGCUUCUUUUUGCACAUUUGCAAGCCCCUGAACAGAGAAGUAAACUAAAUUAAAUGCUUUCCUGAACAAAUGUUUUAAGUUUUUUUCUUAAAAGAAAGAUUUGAGUCAGUUGGUCUAAUUUAUAUUCAAAACUAAGCGGGGAUGUCCAGUUCUUACACGGGUUGGAAAAAAGUGAAAUUAUAUCCAUUUAUUAUUUGGCAGUUAAUUUAUUAUUCGAAUAUUGUUCAAAAUUCAGACUGCCAUUAUUAACAAUUAGCGGACUGUAGUUGCUACAAAUCAUUUAGAGUGACUUAUGAUAAAUGUCAUUUUUCAUUUCGUCAUUAGUAGUAAAAACAUAUUCGCAAUCCUACUCUGGAACAGGUGAUGUGUAGCUGGCUGUGUUAAAAGCACGGUUCUUUGAAGUAAACUCCAGUUACUUUAAGUGAUUGUUCUUACACUUUAUUUAUGGACAUUUCAAAUGCAAGAUAUAUUGGAAAUGGAAGUCGUUUGAAUCUGAAAGGGAGGUCUUUGGAAAUCAUAAGUAUAUGUGGAAUGAAAACGUUCUCUCCUUUUCUGAUACCAGUUAGAAUUGUAGCUUUGAUUAGGUGUGGAUGAUGUGACAGUGUCGACACAUUUCUCACAAUUAGAAUUUACUGUUUUAGGGUUUUCCUUAAUUCUUUUUAAUCAUGUUCACACAUUUCAUUUUUUUAUUAAUCGCUGAAACUGUAGCUUUUGGAUAUUUUCUCUUCCUCUCACUUGGUAAUUGUGUUGUGACGAACAUUAGGAAAGACAGACUUUCUUGCUUAUUUAUUAGAUGUCUUUAUUUUGCAAAAUAAAAGUAUAAAACUGAACAAGAAAUAAACAUAUAUUACACAUACCAUUGAAAAGACACAGCAUGUUUGAAAAAGUGGACUGUAUACAGUUAAAAAAAAAAUGAAACAAGACUAAUAAUAAAAAAUGUCCAAAGAGGUUUUCUUCACUAUUCCUUUGGAUCCCAAUUGAACAGGAACAACAAGCAAGCAUAAUUAGAUUUUAAUAUUGCCUUUCAAAACAUCUUUAUGAAGAAAAAUUUAUAUAAAGACAAACCAAAAAAAUGUAGAUCUACGUUGACUGAUUACUGACUCUGCGGAGGCUAUCAACCAAAGCCCUACAAUACAUUUAGCCUACUAAAGAAAGCUUUCACACUUGUCACAUGAUUGAUUUUCUGAAUUAUGUUUCUACAGAAAUUGAUGUUGGUGGAAAAUCUUUUAAUAUUCUAAUGAAGAAACAUCAUUAUUUGCAUGAAACAAAAUGUCUCCUGUUCCAUUGCUUUUAUAUAUUUGAAGGUAUACAUCAUUUCAACAUCAAAUGAUGUAAAAAAGAUGCUUUUUGUUGCCUUUGUAUAACUUUAUUUAUACUUAGUUUUCUCCUACUUUUUUUUUUAAAAAACUCUGCUGCUCCAUUUUCCGUGAUUCCCUAAGCAUGUACUUAUAGUGCUUAAUUAGCCAGGGCUACUUUAUUAUCAUUAUUUACAGCAUUUGAAGUGCAAUAAAUAACCAUACUGUUUUAUCUGCUUUUUCAAAGAUCAUGGAGGCGAGGGAAUGGCCCUCUUUAAGGUCCAAAGAUGUGAUUAAAUGAAAAAUUAUUUUGUAAGCAUGUGGGGGUAAGGUUAUUGGGUGGAGCGAGGGCAGUUCUCUUCAGAAUCCAAAGAUGCAGUUGUAAAUAGUUUCAGAUACAAGAGGGGAAGGGCAAGGGUUAUGCAUUGUGAGAAGUGCUGGAUAUAUCAGAAGUUAAUGGAGUGCCCACUACCCACCAUGGACCAUCUCUAUUACAACAAGUAAGAAAGGCAGCUUCCUGAUUUAUUUAACCACAAUUUAAAUGAUAUACAAAAAGUUUUACUGGAUGACAAAGUUCUCGUUUCUACUGGUAUACUGCCUACCACUAUCUUCCAGAUUGCAUAGACAUCUUUCUUUUCCAUCAUUUGUCCAAUGUACAAAAUUAGGUCCAUAAAGACAUGGUUUGAUGAAUUUAGGGUUUAGAAACUCUAGUACUCUGCACAGAGCCCAGGGAGUUCUGUAUUAAAUGCCCGUGGUUUUGGAAAGAGACAUCCUAAAAGCUCAUAUGGGUGUGAUGGUCAGGUGUCCACAAACAUUUGGCCAUAUAUCGUAAUUUUUGGACCCGAGUCUGCAAAUAACAAAUUAAUGUAAAAAUAUUCAUAAAACUAUUUUGUGACAGAUAACUUAAAUAAUUAAGAAACAUUUGGCACAUAUCAUUCAGAUUUAAUUAAACAAAUUAAUUUGACCCAAGUGUGAAGAAUUUUUUUGUAGAUUGUGGUUAUUGCUGAAGAAAAAAUUUUAGUCAGAUAGUGAAGAUAUAGAAAGGUUUAAGAUUUUCUUUCAGUGUAAGCCCUUCAAAUGCUUAAGCAUUGCGUUUCAUUCAUGUCAUCCAUCUAUGUCUUUGCUGAACCUGUUUUUUUAUUACAGGUCAUGGGAAUCCAGAGUCUAUCCUAGCAACAUUGAGUCCAGGAUGAAAAUAAAACUGAAAGGAAUGUUUUACAGAGCACAGUAAUCUACAUAAUAUGUCGAGUAAUACUGGGCUUAUUCAGAAAUGCAUGUUAACCUUACAUGCCCUGCCUUGGAGCAUGGGAUGAGACUGGAGUACCUGAUAGAAACUCAACACAAAAAAUUUGAAAACUCCAAAGAGACAGCAAUCAGACUGGAAAUGGUUUACUUUAGCACUCUCAUUUAUAUAACUGCAUGCUGAUUUUGCUUAGAAUCUUUUAAUCAUAAUGAUUUGGAUCCUACUGUAGCAGAAUCAGGUACAAGGUACACCAGGCUAAUUUACAGUCACCAUUCAACCUAAGACUCAUGUCUUUGGAAAGGACACAGGAACUGCACUUUGACAUUGGACCAGGCCAGGAAUUAAAUUGAAUGCAUUAACAUCCUACAAUUGCAGAUUCAGAGGUUCCCUGGCUCGAUGUGCAAGAGGUUUCAUGCAGUGGUGGCAAAACGAAGUUGUCACACAAAAUACUGACAACUGCAGGACUACGGAUGUUAAUGUUAAUGGUUGUUAUUAUUUUUCUGUUUUUUUGCUAUUGUGCUGUUUUCUUUAUCCUAUUAUUCUCAUUUCAGCAAUGAAGGUUGAACUUUCACUCCAAA